This is an RNA transcript of Antechinus flavipes (yellow-footed antechinus), 3233 nucleotides long. It is a transcript of the gene named protein phosphatase 1 regulatory subunit 3E, with no coding region annotated. The transcript is spliced from 3 exons. NCBI's taxonomy places the organism in Eukaryota, Metazoa, Chordata, Mammalia, Dasyuromorphia, Dasyuridae. The record is from RefSeq and is a predicted model, not a curated record.
GCCAUGUCUCGGGAGAGGCCACCCCGUACCGACAUCCCCCGCAACCUCAGCUUCAUCUCAGCGCUCACAGAGCGCGCCUAUUACCGCAGCCAGCGACCCAGCCUGGAGGAGGAGCUGCAGCCGGAGGAGGAGGAGCCGGAGUCCCGAGAGGGGGGCGGAGCGCGCCUCAGGCCUCGCUCCCGCACCUUAGCCCCCGGGCGGGGCCGUCGGGCCCGCUCUGCCCCCGCUGGAGGGGGCGCCCGGGCCCCGCGCAGCCGCAGCCCGGACACCCGCAAGCGGGUGCGCUUCGCCGACGCUCUGGGGCUGGAACUGGCGGCCGUCCGCCGCUUCAGUCCCGGGGAGCUCCCUCGUGUGCCUCGCCACGUGCAGAUCCAGCUGCAGCGCGACGCCCUCAGGCACUUCGGGCCCUGUCCACCCAGAACUCGCACCCUCCAGGAGGCGCGCGCUGCCCUCGAGCCCGCCCGCGAGCCCGGCUUCGCCGCCCGCCUGCAGGCCCAGCGCAUAUGCCUGGAACGAGCAGAGGCGGGCCCGCUGGGCGUGGCUGGGAGCGCGCGCGUGCUGGACCUGGCCUACGAGAAGCGCGUGAGCGUGCGCUGGAGCGCGGACGGUUGGCGCAGCCAGCGCGAGGCUCCCGCCACCUACGUAGGUCCGGCUCCACCCCCGCCGCGUGCGGAUCGAUUCGCCUUCCGCUUGCCCGCCCCGCCAACCGGGGGCUCCUUGCUCUUCGCCCUGCGCUACCGCGUAACCGGCCUUGAGUUCUGGGACAACAACGGAGGCCGCGACUACGCACUGCGCGGGCUCGACUCCCCCGGCAGCGGUGGCGGCAGCGAUCCUGAACCCCAGGGCUGGAUCCACUUUAUCUGAGCGCGGAACGGGAAACCCAGGGAUCAGGAGAAAGUGUGGAAAACGGCGGGAGAAACCAAAGGAACUGGGGGUUGGGGGAAGCCACGAAUGCGGGAGUGGAAAUUAUGGGAGGUUGAUUGAUGGGACGGGAGGAGAUAAAGAGACGGUUUGCGCGCACGCGUAGGAGAAUGAGAGGAACUAAAAGUUAAGUCGAUGGGGAGGACGGAUGAAUCCAAUGGGAACGGGAAAUAUCGAAGAAGAGAACAAUGUGGAAGUGGAGGGCGAGUAGCUGUAGGAGGAAUGAAGCGGGAAACCUAGGUAUACCCUGGGGAAACAAAAGAACCAGGGAAUAAAGAUAUUUAGUGCUAUUCCGAGCAGGGUAAGGCAGGUCAUUUAUUAAUAGCCAGAAGGAAUCUUAGAAAUCAUGUAGUCAGAUCCCUUCAUUUUGUAGAUGAUGUUCUGAAGCUUUCAGAGGUGAAGUCACUUGCUUGAGAACCCACCAUUUCUGUCAGUGUCAGAGCCCAGAUUUGAACAAGUGUUGCCCACAUUUAGCAUUCUUGCUACUUGUAACAAAGUGGAUCAAAGGGGAGGAAUCUGGUGAAGCUUCACUUGUUUGGGUGGGACUCAAGUCGAGGGAAGAGUUCCAGAAGACAAAAAGUCCCCUUUAGACUUUCAAAGGAUCCCUGGAUAACUUUCUUUGCCAGUCCCACAAGUUGGGUGCUGAGAGAGAACUUUAAACUCUAGAAGGAAGUCAAACUCUCAGCUCUAGGGAGUCAUUGCAGUUUUCUAUCUGGGGUUAUCCAGUCCUGCUUCCAAAUACCAUUAAUUUGGUUAGAUCAUUAGGGCCACGUCUUGAAUUCCCUUUGGAGUAAUCUGGUCAAUUGUCUGCCUCCUGGAGCUUCCAACUUCGGGCAGCCCUGCUGAUUAUUUUCUUGAGGCUUCAGUUUUUUGUCUCUGGAAAUUUGAGAAGGCAGGCUGCAUCCAGUCCUCAUAUCUCAAAAGAGACUGAAAACAUCCAGACCUUCUGUACCAGUCUUGCUUUUCUGGUUUGUAAAGAUCUCAAAGUAUAUUUUAAAUAUCUCUGUUUCAGGGGGAGGCAUUGGAUGAAGAGAAAAUAAUUGUCCCCAUUUUACAGAAGAGUAAAUAGGAAAAGGGAUCCUUCACAGUCAUAGUUUAAAAAAAAAAAAAAAAGGUUAUACUGGAUAAUAUUGUGUGAAUGAAGAGCUUGCUUGCUGUCCUCCCUGAAUCAGCCAUUUGCCCUCUUCUGUUCCCAGAACCCCCUCUUGGAAGUCUUCCAGAGGAGAGGUGGGAAGAAGGCAAACAGCAGUUUCUUCUUGUGACCCAGAUGAACUGUUUUCCCAGGUAAUCAGCUUUUUUCCCUCUCCACUUUCUUUGGGUUCUGAUAAUUUGGGGGAUUUAUUGAUAUAUCUUAUCAGCCUUUUGCAUUAGGAAGGAAGGAUUGUAGGUUCUGAUCAGAAUAGAAGCUGCAAACCUUUUGGUUUCUCCAGCCAACUUUGUGUUCCUCUGAGUAGUGGUCAAGAAGAAAUGACAUAUUUGUAAAAACACAAUUCACAGCCAACCUUAUUUAGCCAUACAUAGAUCAAUGGAAAACAUGUUGGAGAAAGGGGUAGAAAACAGGAGAAAGGGCAAGAUCAAUAAGGACCAGGCACAUUUGAUACGAUUUCAUAUAUGUUGCAUUCUAUACGCAGAUAGUCUUUGGUUCUGAUUUCCCUACAUUACUGCUCCUCCAUGUUAUCUCCGAGACAUGGCUUGAAGAGAUCAAAGGACAAAGGGAGUAAGUGAAACUAUGGGGCUGCUCCUUAUGAACCCCAGCUUCUACCACCUCUCAAUCAGGUGGAGUAUUAGUACAUGUAUGUUGCAUGAAUGAGACUUCCACAAUUUGCAAGGAAUAUUCCUAUAAAUAGUCUUAGUACUUUCCUGCCUAAUAGGAUCCAAAGCUAUGUUAAUAGGAGGGCAAGAAAAGGCUACAUACUAGAAGACAAGUGCACUGAAGACCCCUUUAGAAGGCUUCAUAUGGCUGGGUAAGUGCAAGGCUUGAAUGAGCAUGAAAGGACCUUAAUCGACUUGAGCUCCCUCCUACAAGUGCUCUCUUUAGAUCAGGUUAAAUGGGUCAUUUAGAAUUCUAAGAUGAUGAGCAAAUGUACCUGUGCCUCCUCAAAACACCCACUCAUAAUACAUGUGGUCAUGAACUGAAUUGAUGACUCAAUUUCUCCUUAACCAGGCUAGCCUUAACAUUUCUGAGGUUGCUGUACAUUUCUAGACAGUAUGGUGUGGACCCCAAUGUUUUAAAACUCUUGAGAGGGCUUAAUGUGUAGAGGCUGCUUUGGGUUAUGCUGUUCGCAGCCUCAGCAUUAAAAUGUGAACUACCA